Long non-coding RNA from Gossypium arboreum, 402 nucleotides. RefSeq lists it as uncharacterized. The record is from RefSeq and is a predicted model, not a curated record. Lineage: Eukaryota; Viridiplantae; Streptophyta; Magnoliopsida; Malvales; Malvaceae. The transcript is spliced from 2 exons.
UACAAGCUUAGAGGCCUUCUAGCUAUGUGCGCUUAUUAUAUAAAAGCUGAAAGCAACAAUUUUGUCCUAAACCCGGCCCGCAGUCUCUGUAGAAGAACAUCAAACCUGAGAGAUUGAACUGCACAAGGAUACGAAUUCGGAAGCCUUUUCACCAUGAGAGCUAAGUGGAAGAAGAAGCGUAUGAGGAGGUUGAAGAGGAAGAGAAGAAAGAUGAGACAAAGAUCUAAGUAGUUUAAUCGUAUUUAGAGCUAUUAACAUUGGAUCUCCUUUCCUUAGAAUUUUCUGUUGUUUGAUGAGUACAUUUUGGUUUGAAGUAUUAGUGGUUUAGUUUUGUAUUUUUGUUGAACCAUUUUCAUCUUCCGAUGUUAACUUUAUUUUUAAUGGGUGCUAGUCUUUUGCUUA